CCCAGACUCCUACGGGAGGCAGCAGUGGGGGAUAUUGCACAAUGGGGGGAACCCUGAUGCAGCGACGCCGCGUGGGUGAAGGAGCGUUUCGGCGCGUAAAGCCCUAUCGGCAGGGAAGAAGGAGGACGGUACCUGACUAAGAAGCCCCGGCUAACUACGUGCCAGCAGCCGCGGUAAUACGUAGGGGGCAAGCGUUAUCCGGAUUUACUGGGUGUAAAGGGGGCGCAGACGGCAGCGCAAGCCAGGAGUGAAAGCCCGGGGCCCAACCCCGGGACUGCUCUUGGAACUGCGCGGCUGGAGUGCAGGAGGGGCAGGCGGAAUUCCUGGUGUAGCGGUGAAAUGCGUAGAUAUCAGGAGGAACACCGGUGGCGAAGGCGGCCUGCUGGACUGCGACUGACGUUGAGGCCCGAAAGCGUGGGGAGCAAACAGGAUCAGAUACCCGCGUA
This 446-nucleotide ribosomal RNA is filed under the name uncultured bacterium. RNAcentral describes it as "bacterial SSU rRNA". It matches the Rfam family "Bacterial small subunit ribosomal RNA", at positions 330 to 792 of the family's 1533-position model. The record is from RNAcentral.